ACAGGGUAUUAUAGUUUAAUCAGCUGCAGAAAAAGUACAUGUCCAGGUGACACGCACGUUCUUCUCAUUCAGUCGUCAACUAAACGAUAAAGAUCCAGAAUGAAUACCAAGUGGAAAGGAUUUGUGAUACUUUUUCUCUUCGAAUUCACUGGAAUGACAGUUUAUUACACCUUGGAGUUGAGCGACGGACUUCACAAACUAGGUCUCUUCACAACAUUGGGAUCACCAAUACAAGGAUUCUUUGAAGGAGGACAACCACUACCUUCAUUUAACGGACCAGCAUUUACCAGUUGGGACCAACGUACUUGCAGCAAGCCAAGGCAGCAAUUCGUCUUCAUCAAAACACACAAGACAGGAAGUAUGACCAGCGUCAAUAUUUUUCAAAGAUAUGUCAUCUACCACAACGUGACUCCACUGGUA
Branchiostoma belcheri (Belcher's lancelet) is the source of this 420-nucleotide long non-coding RNA. RefSeq lists it as uncharacterized. The record is from RefSeq and is a predicted model, not a curated record. Lineage: Eukaryota; Metazoa; Chordata; Leptocardii; Amphioxiformes; Branchiostomatidae. The transcript has 3 exons.